RNAcentral lists this ribosomal RNA (194 nucleotides) under uncultured bacterium. RNAcentral's name for it is "partial 16S ribosomal RNA". It matches the Rfam family "Bacterial small subunit ribosomal RNA", at positions 1307 to 1500 of the family's 1533-position model. The record is from RNAcentral.
GCAACUCGCCUGCAUGAAGUUGGAAUUGCUAGUAAUCGCGAAUCAGAAUGUCGCGGUGAAUACGUUCCCGGGCCUUGUACACACCGCCCGUCACACCAUGAGAGUCGAUAACACCCGAAGCCUGUGAGCUAACCGUAAGGAGGCAGCAGUCGAAGGUGGGGUUGGUGAUUGGGGUGAAGUCGUAACAAGGUAAC